UGAGCACAUCAAGCACACCUCUGGC
This 25-nucleotide non-coding RNA is filed under the name Mus musculus (house mouse). The record is from RNAcentral. Lineage: Eukaryota; Metazoa; Chordata; Mammalia; Rodentia; Muridae.